Molecule: long non-coding RNA, 10263 nt
Organism: Homo sapiens (human)
Lineage: Eukaryota; Metazoa; Chordata; Mammalia; Primates; Hominidae
Product: long independently transcribed non-coding RNA 1000
Exons: 5
Source: RefSeq, marked validated
AAGCACCUGUCCUGCGAGCUUAGGGGUGCUACAAGUUGACCACUGCAGCAGUAAAGAUGACUCUGAAGAAUGGCAUGGGAUGGAUCCUUUCGAAUGCACUUGAGCAGCGGUCUCCAACCACAGGGCCACAGAGCUGGAGCUGGAUCUACCAUGAAAGACCUCUGAAUCCAGGAAGAGAGACUGACUGAGCAACAUGUUAUUCAGGGUCUCCAUCUGUUGUCCAAGGCUGGAGUGUAGUAGUGCUAUCACAGCUGACUGCAGCCUCAACCUUCCAGGCUGAAGCGAUCCUCCCAUCUCAACCUCCCACGUGGCUGAGACUACAGGUGCUUGCCACUAUGCCCAACUAAUAUUUGGAAUUUUCGUAUACGUGGAUUCCAGAGGGGUGACAGUGAAACGUGGGACCAUCCAGUUGCAGGAAAACAAGCUUAAGACGCCCACUGAUUCUACAUUAUGCUCCUACCUCCCGGCAGCCUCUCCAGGCCCAGAACUUUCUCCAAUCAGCCUCUACAGACCAAGCUCAUGACUCACAAUGGCCUAUUUAGGCCCAUACCCUACGUCACGGCAGUCUCCGCAGAUGAGCCUACUGCCCCACAACAGCCUCCACAGGCACAGCUCCAUCGUUACAAUGGCCUCUUUAGACCCAGCUCCUGCCUCCCAGCCUUCUCUCCAGGCCCUGAACUUUCUCAAGUCGACCUCACCAGGCCCAGCUCAUGCUUCUUUGCAGCCUCUCCAGGCCCAGCUCCUGCAUCUUGGUGGCCCCUCCAGGCCCAGCCUCUGCCUCCCGUCGGCCUCUACAGUCCCAACAUCUGCCUCACAGCAGAUUCUUCACGCCCAGCAUCUGCCUCACUGUGGACCCCCCAAGCCAAGCUCCCAACCUUUCAGCAGCUUCUACACACCCAGCUCCUGCCACCCAGUGGCCUCUUUAGGCCAAGCUCAUGCUUCACAAGGGCCUUUCCAGGCCCAACUUUUGUCUCAUGGCAACCUUCCCUGGCCAGAUUCCUGCCUGUCUCCCAGCAGCCUAGACAGGCCCAGGGCCUCUCUACAUGCAGCUUAUGCCUCACGGUGGCCUCUCCAGGCCCAACUCCUGUCCCAGGACGUCAUCUCCGGGCCCAAAACUUACUCAAGUCAGACUCUGUAGUCCCAACUGCUGCCUCCUGGUGGCCUAUGAAGGCCCAAAAUCUCCUCAAGUUGACCUUUCCAGGCCCAGCUCCUGCCUCCUGUCAGCGUCUACAGGCCCAACCUCUACGUCAUGGGGGCUUCUCCAGGCCCACCUCUUCCUCUUGGCUGGGUCUACAGGCACAACUGCUGCCUCACAACAGCCUUUUUUGGCCCAGUUCCUGUCCAGCUCAUGGCGGCCAAUGUAGGCCCAAAACUUCCUCAAGUCAAACUCUCCAGGCCCACCUUCUGCUUCCCAGUGGCAUGAACAGGCCCAGCUUUGACUUGAGAACAGCCUCUGCAGGCCCUGCUCUUGCCUCCCAGGGGCUUUUUCCAGGCCCAGCUCUUGCCUCAUGGCAGCUGCCCCAGGCCAAAUUUCUGCCUGCCUGCCAGCAGCCUCAACAGGCAUAGCUCCUCCCUCACAGUGGCCCAUUUAGGCCCAACUCAUGACUGUCGGGCCAUUUCCAGGCCUAGUGCCUGCCUCGUGGCUGACUCUUGAAGCCCAAAACUUCCUCAAAUCAGCCUUUUGCCCAACUUCUGUCUACUGUCGGACUCUACAGGCCAGCCUCUGCCUCACAGUGGACCCUCCAGACCCAGAUGGUGUCUCACUGUGGCAUCCUCAGUCGAAGCUCCUGCCUUUCGGCAGCCUCUCCAGGCCCAGCUCCUCCUGCCUCCCAGUGGCCUCUUUCGGCCCAGCCCAGCUCAUGCCUCCCGGCGGCCUUCCCAAGCCCCGCUUUUGACUUUCGGUGGCCUCUGCAGGCCUCGACAAGGCCCAGCCUCCUGCCUCCCGAAGGCCUGCACAGGCCCAGCCUCUGCCUCACAGCGGACUCUCCACGCCCAGCUAGCUGUCGCCUCAUUGCGGCCUCCCGAGUCCAAAGCUCCUGCCUCUCGGCCGCUUCGGCAGGCCCAGCUCCCACCUGCCAGUGGCCUCUUCAGGCCCAUGGGGCUCGUUCCUCACAACGGCCUUUCCAGGCCCAGUUUUUCCCUUCCGGCGGCCUCUCCGGGCCCAGAACCUCCUCAAGUCGGCCUCUCCAGAGCCACUUGCACCCUCCGGGCGUCCUCUCCGGGCCCAGCUCUUCUUCCUGGUUGCGUCUCCAGGCCCGACUCCUGCCUCUCAACAACCUCUUUGGACUCAGUGCCUACCCAUCUCCUGGCGGCAUUGGUCGGCCCACAGCUUCCUCAAGCCAAGCUCCCCAGGCCCAGGUCAGGCCUCACGGUGGCCUCUCCAGGAUGAGCUCCUGCCCUCCGAUGGCAUCUCCAGGCCCCAAAUGGUCUCCGGUCGGUGGGCUCCUCCACGCCAAGCUUGGGCCUCCCGGCGACCGCUGCAGGCCCAAGUUGUCCUGAAGUCGGCCUCUCCUGGCCCUGCCUCCCAGCAAGUAAGCAAGCUCUUUUGGCUCAACUCCUGCCCAGCUCCCAACCGCCUUUCUAGGCCCCGAACUUUCUCCAGCCAAGCUCUGAGGGCCCACCUCCUGCCUCCUGGUGGCCUGUACAGGCCCAGCACUGGUUGGAGAACAGCCUCUGCAGGCCCCGCCCUUGCCUACCAGGGGCCUCUCCAGGCGCAGCUCUUGCCCCCACGGCGGCCUCCCGGGGCCAAGUCCCUGCCUGCCUCCCAGCAGCCCACGUGCGGCCCAGCUCCUCUCUCACGGUGGCCUGUUGAUGCCCACCCUCCCACGCGGACAGAGGUCAGCCUGAGCCCCUUGCCUCACACCGGCCCCUCCCACGCGGACAGAGGUCAGCCUGAGCCCCUUGCCUCACACCGGCCCCUCCCACGCUGAGAGAGGUCAGUGUGAGCCCCUGCCUCAACAGGCCACCGUGAGGGAGGAGCAGGGUCGCACGCGGGCUGCUGGGAGGUAGGCAGGGACUUGGGCCUGGGAGGUCGCGGUGGGGCGAGAGCUGGGCCUGGAGACUCCCCUGGGAGGCAACAGCGGGGUCUGCAGACACCCUUCUCCAGCUGGAGCUGGGACUGUUCAGUCACUGGGAGAAGGGAUGUGGGUCUGAAGAGCUUGGUUGCAGAAACUUCGGGGUCUACAAAGGCCGGCGGGAGCUGAGCCAAAAGAGCUUGUUUGCUGGGAGGCGGGAGAUGCAGCCAGGAGGAACAGCUGGGCCAUGCGGGAGGCAGAGGCCGGGCCUCCUCAAGUCGGCCUCUCAGACCCACUUGCAGCCUCCCAGCGUCCUCUCCGGGCCCAGCUCUUCCUCCCGGCUGCGUCUCCAGGCCGGACUCUGGCCCGACUCCAGGUCCCAACAACGUCUUUGGACUCAGCUCCUGCCCAGCUCCCAGAGGCCCUGGUAGGCCCACAACUUCCCUAAGCCAAGCUCCCCAGGCCCAGCUCAGGCCUCACGGUGGCCUCUCCAGGCUCAGCUCCUGCCCUCCGAUGGCAUCUGCAGGCCCCAAACGGCCUCCGGUUGGUGGGCUUCUCUAGGCCCAGCUUGGGCCUCCCGGUGGCCUCUGCAGGCCCAAAUCGUCCCGAAGUCGGCCUCUCCAGGCCCAGCUCCGGCCUCCCAGCGGCCUCUGCAGGCCCAAGUCGUCCUCAAGUCGGCCUGGAAGUGGGCCUGGAAGAGCAGCAAGUCGGCCUCCCCGGGCCCAGCUCCGUCCUCUCGGCGGCCUCUCCAGGUGCAAAACUUCCUCGAGUCAGCCUCUCCAGGCCCAGCUCUUCCUGCCUCCCAGUGGCCUCUUUCGGCCCAGCCCAGUUCAUGGCUCUCGGCGGCCUUCCCAGGCCCCGCUUUUGACUUUUGGCAGCCUCUUCAGGCGCAGAACUUGAUCUCCAGUCGGCCUUUGCAGGCCCGGCCUCCUGCCUCUCAAAGGCCUGCACGGGCCUGGCCUUGGCCUUGGCCUCACAGUGGACUCUCCACGCCCAGCUAGCUCUCGCCUCACUGCGGCCUCCCCCGUCCAAAGCUCCUGCCUUUCGGCCACUUCGGCAGGUCCAGCUACUGCCUGCCAGUGGCCUCUUUAGGCCAAGCUCAUUCCUCACAACGGCCUUUCCAGGCCCCGUUUUUCCCUUCCGGCAGCCUCUUGGCCUCUAAUUUGUUUAUCUUUUGUGUAUAAAUCCCAAAAUAUGGAAUUUUGGAAUAUUUCCACCAUUAUAUAUUUUGGUAGGUAAUUUAUUUGGAGUGAGUUUCUGCACCAUGCCCGAACUUUUUGUUUUAUUUUCCUUAUUAUUUGGUGUUAAACAGGUUUAAUGACGGUCAUGGCAACUUUUUGGCACAAUGAAAAAUAUCGCCCAUGAUCAACGUGUUCUGUUCUGGGGAAGGGGGCAAAGGCAGGGUGAAUCACUUUCUUAAAAAGUAUAGCUCAAGUUGGGAGUGCAGAGGGAAUGGGGAGAAAACCCUUCCGCUGCCUGUGUCGAAGUGCAGGAGCCCCCACCCCCAUACUCACCUGAGUCCAGCCCCUCUGGGGAAAGAAGGGGUGCAUGAACUCCCCUUAGUCCACAGGCGCCUCCCUGUGGCCCAAGGCCCUCUUCACACUCCAUCUUGUAGCCCCAGCAGGAGCUAUUUUCCGAAAAGUGAAAAGCUCUGAAGGUCCCACAAUUCAUGGUAUGUACAGGGGCUCGGAGGAGGGAAACUGCCCAGCUUUCCCCCGGCACAGCUGCAGGGGUAGGGGGUAUAGAUAAGAGGAGCAGGCCUUGGCCAGGCGUGGUGGCUCACGCCUGUAAUCCCAGCACUUUGGGAGGGGGAGGCAGGCAGAUCACGAUGUCAGGAGAUCGAAAUCAGCCUGGCCAAGAUGAUGAAGCCCCGUCUGUACUAAAAAUACAAAAAUUAGCCGGACGUGGUAGCGUGCACCUGUAAUCCUAGCUACCCGGAAGGCUGAGGCAGGAGAAUGGCGUGAACCCGGUGGGAAGAGUUUGCAGUGAGCCAAGAUCGCACCACUGCACUCCAGCCUGGGCGACAGAGCAAGACUCGGUCUCAAAAAAAAAAAAAAAAAAAAAAAAAGGCAGGCCUUACUCCGUCCCAAACUGAAAGGAUUAAAUGGCUUUACCUGGGAGAAGAUAACCAUCCUGCCCUCCAUUGCUACCCCCACAUACUGUCCAUGUUCUCAGGGGGUACUGUGAGUCCUGGGAUCUUUGGGGUUGCCCACCUGCCUGUGGUAGUUAUGGAGACCCCCCAGGUGUUUAGGCAGGGCUGGGGUGUCCCCUUCCAACCAGGCUGUCAAGGCCCCAACUCUGGGGCAGAGGCAGUGGCAGGGCAGCCAGGGUUGCGCCAGAGCCUGAGCAGGUUGAGGUGGGGUCAGGCAGGGCUGGGAGUCAGGGCAGGGGCAGCAGCAGUGGACCCGCUAUGCACACAUCGUCUUCUCCAAGGUUUGUGUGCAGAACAUCCUGCCCAUGCUGCCCCAGCAGCUUCAGUUGGCACCUGCCCCAGUCCAGCCUCUGGGAACCAUGCAGCAGCUCCCAGCGGCCCUGCACCCACCACCAGCAUCCGUUUCACCUGCAGUUGAAGAUCCGUGAGGUGCCCAGAAGAUCAUGCAGUCAUCAGUCCCACGGAGCAGCCCGUGAGGCUGAGGCUCCUCCCACUGGACCGCCCCCCAACUGGCACCACUGCUGCCCCUGCCCCUACUCUCAGCCUCACGUGACUCUCGGGCAGAGGCAGUGGUGGGGCAGCCAGGGCAGCGUCAAGAGUCUGAGCCAGGUGAGGUGCGGUCAGGACCCCCACAGGGCUGGGAGUCAGGGCAGGGGCAGAACAAACCUUGGAGGGGAAGAUGUGUGCAUAGUGGGCCUGGAGGGCGGCUGUGGCCUAGUGGACAGGAAGAAGCAGUGGGCCUGGAAGAGCUGCAUGAUCAGGGCCGGCACUGGUCCAGGGCACGUGCAGUGAAGAGGACAGCGCCUUCUCGGUCUCCGGUUCCCUGAGCCUGUCCUUGGCUUCUCCACCUGUACAGGCAAAGGGGAAGCUGUCCCCAUCACACAUGGCACACUUGGGGGUGUUGGGCUUUGGACUGCAGCUGGAGCAUCUUCUCAUCUUGCAUUUGGGCGUGGUGGGGUCCUCCAGUGUGGGAUCCAUGUCCGUGGGGUUCCCUCUGCCCCGACCCCGAAAGCCCAGUCAGUUUCUCUUCAGGCUCUGCCCCCCGGGUGGCUCAGCCCAGCUCCUGCCUAGGAAAGCCUUAGUGUUGGGAGGGACCCUGAUGACUGAGGAGCCUGGUAGCUCCAGGUCGCCCACACUUUCAGGUCUCUUGCACCAGAAGGUGGCAGGAUCCAUUGGGAGGAAACAGGUCACCUUGGAAGGCGUCCCUGGGCCCCCAUCCCCAGGGGUAGGGGCCGUAGGGGGCCCGCUCUGCUGCCUUGACCAGACUCCUGGGCAUUGAAGGCUCCUGGGCCCAGUAAGAAGGAGGUGGGUGCCAAGGUUGAGGAGGAAGCAUCCGAGUAUGUGUAGGAGGAGGACAAGGUGGGACCAUAGACUUUGCCAAAAGCUGCAGGUGGAUCGGGGGACCCUGGGGGCUCAGGAUCCAGCAAGGGGCGGCAGGAGUAAAGGAGGAAGGAAUGACAGGUGCAAAUACCUUCCCACCAAAGCCCUUGUUGCCCUCUGGCUCCUCCCCAGAGUUGUCCCCACUCUCAGUCGGUCACCCACUCCUUGAACUUGAGAUCGGUGUCAGUGGUGCUAAAGCCAUCAUCAGCAAUGACAUCAUCACCCCCUCCUCCUCAUGGAUGACCGUGUGCUCCUCGUCACUUGCUAUGUCCUCACUGGCCAUGUGCUGGGAAUGAGCAGCUCAGGUGGGCAGCAGCAGGGCUGCCCACUGGUCACCUCCCUCACCAGGGGCUGCAAAGUGGCCUGGAGCUCCAUACUGAGUAGAAGGCUUUGGGCCAGAGUAUGAUGCAGUGCCAGACACCACCUGUGUCAGUUCCCGUAGUGCCUGACGGUCUAUUUCCCUGCCGUCCAGGCUGUGUACCCCACUGUGGGAGAAGGCUUGGGCCAGGCUAAGCCAGGUUCCCUGACUGUGUGCAGCCAUUCUGCCCCACAGAAGCUGCUCCUUGGUAUCCGAGCUCUGGAGUGUUUGGGCUGCAACUGACAGGAGUUCAGAGGACACCCCAGGGGCAGUGGCAGUGCCCGUCUCUGAUAUUCUCCGCUCCCACGAGCCCUUGUUACACUCCUGCUAGCCCCUGGCUUGUGGGCUUGGCCUCUGAGCUGGACUUCUUUCGGUCCUUGUUGCAAGUGGGCCACCUUCACCUGGAAGGCCAGGUCGUGGUAUUUCUGCGUCUCAUUGGGCCCCAGGGUGUACCACCGCUUGCUCAGCAUCUGGCUGACGGUCCGGUUGUCCUGGUUGGGGUGACCCUGGUGCGCCCUGCCAGGGCCUGGUGCCGCUUGCUGAAGAUCAUGACCGCCACUCAUGGGCCACCGGAUGUGGUCCUUGUCCCAUUUGUUGGGGCUGCAUCCAUCCUUCUCAGAAGAUGAGUCCUGUUCCUUGCGCAGGGCACUGAGGGACUGGGCCUGACAUCAUCUGGCUGGUAGAGGCAACUGGGUGUCAGGAGACAUGAUGGAGAGGAAAGCAUCAUCAUGGUCAUUCUCUGUCUCACUGUCCAGCAGGGACUCCCCUGAGGGGCCCAGGGCUCCUCCUCCAUGGUGGGAGGUGAGCUUUUACCAGGUUCCACCACCCCCAAAGUGUGUGGGGUUGCGGGCCCUGGGCUUUCAGGGCAGGUGGCUCCAGGGGGCCACCCAGGGUCAGCACUCCCUGUCCCACCUGGUGGACACUCAUGAGCAACAGCUGCUGACUUGGCAGGUUCUUUGCUCUGGUUGGAGGCCACUGAGUGACUGGCAGGUUGCUGGACCUCACAUAGCUGCAGGGAGGGGUCAGGAAGGGGACAGAGUACCAGGAGAACACAGCCACAGAGCAAGGUUCCACGUUCCUCCACACAAACAUGCUGACGCCACUGGAGGCCUCGCUGGACGCAGACAUCAGGGGCCUGUGGGCCAAGUACAUGGUCUGGGCAGGGGGUUCCUGGCAGGGGCUCACACCUCCUCAGCCCCCUCCUCAGCCAAGGCAGCUUGGACCCACGGAAGUGGGGAUGGAAGGGGAGCAUGAGGCCAGGCCUCAAGUUUUUGUUUUUGUUUUUUUUUUUUUUGAGAUGCAGUUUGGCAGGCUGGAGUGCAGUGGUGCGAUCUCAGCUCACUGAAACCUCCACUUCCUGGGUUCAAGCAAUUCUCCGGCCUCAGCCUCCCAUGUAUAUGCACCUUUACUGCUGAAUAUUAUAUAUUUUCUUAUGCUUUCAUGUGAUUGAUUAGCAUUCUUUUUUUUUUUCUUUUUGAGACAGAGUGUUGCUGUCGCCCAGGCUGGAGGGCAGUGGUGUGAUCUCGGCUCACUGCAACCUCUGCUUCAUGGUUUAAUUGAUUCUCCUGCCUCAGCCCCCUGAGUAGUUGGGAUUACAGGCACCCGCCACCACACCUGGUUAAUUUUUUGCAUUUUUAGAAGGCGUGGGUUUUUGCCAUGUUGGCCUGGCUGGACUUGACCUCCUGACCUCAAGUGAUCCACCCUCCUUGGCCUCCCAAAAUGCUGGGAUUACAGGCAUGAGCCACCACACCCAGCUGCUUUCUUUCAUUUUUACUUGAAAAACUCCAUUAAGCAUUUCUUUUAAAGUAGACCUAGUGGUGGCUCAUACCUAUAAUCCCAGCACUCUGGGAGGCCAAGGUUUCAGGAUCGCUUGAGCCCAGGAGUUCAAGACCAGCCUGGGUAACAUAAUGAGACACCAUCUCUACAAAAAAUGCAAAAAUUAGCUGAGCAUGGUGGCACGCACCUGUAGUCCCAGCUACCUGGGAUGCUGAGGUGGGAGGAUCACUUGAGCCCGGGAAGUCACAGCUGCAGUGAGCCAUGAUCGCACCACUGCACUCCAGCCUGAACAACAGUGUGAGACCCUGUUUUUUAUUUUUUAUUUUUAUUUAUUUAUUUUUUAAAGACAUAGGUAGCUAGAGUAAUACAGAGAUGAAAGGGAGAGUAUUCACACACGCUUCUUAAAAUAGAAAUUACUAAAUUUUAUUUUACUUAAAAUAAAAUUUAGCUGUGAGGAUUCUCCACAAGGCUGCUCAUGACAUGGCAGAUGGCUUCCCCUUGGGUGGAAUGACAGGAGGGCGAGGGCCAAGGUGAGGGUGGUACGGAGAGAGAAAAAACUACCAAGAUGAAAGCUGCAGUGCCUUUUAUAACCUAAUCUUGGAAGGGACAUAUCACUACUUGUGCCUUAUCCUUUCAGUCACACAGACCAACCCUGAUAUGUUAUGGAUAGGGACUUGGAGACUGCUCCAAAGACCAGGAGGUGACGAUCACUGGGGUCCUCUGGGAGACUGGCCACCACAGUUGCCUUUUCCUUUUCAGGUCACUUACAAGGGUCUUUGUUGCUAUGGAGGUGGAUGUGGGCAUAAUCAAAGGGUACAUGUUGUACAGGCCUUUAUUAUACAAACCUCUACAAUAAAACAAUAACACAUCACUGCCAAGACAGUUAUACAGUGUUAAAUUGGAAUGGAAAGGAAGGAAUCAGAAUUUCAUGUGAUAGAACACUUAAAAGUCUGCCUGUGCACAUGUAUGAAUAUGCAUUAGGGAGAAGUAAAAGAGUGACCUGAAAAUCUUCCUAAAGUAAUAUUAUCUAGAAAGUUUGAGAGGUUUAACUGUGGCUAACAAGAUUUCCUGAAGAUAAAAUGUUCCUGGGGCCUUAAUAGUUACAAGAACUUUACCAAAUCAAGAAAGCAAAUAUAUAGGAGUCUAAAAAUUAUUUAGUUUUGCAUAUUCAUUUCAGAGUACCAAUUAUGAUUUUAUUUCUUUUUAAUUUUUAAAAGUUUAGAAAAAAAACGAGAACCAAUUACAAUGUUAAAAGGAAACAGGAAGGAUAGAUUUGGGGCCAAUUAUAUUACUGUUUGGGUUUUUGUUACUAUAAAAAUGGAAAUAUUAAAGAUUUUAAAAAAUGAGUGGUAAUAGAGUACAAAUCUGCAAAUGAUGAAUCAGCAAUUAUAUUUUUAUACCAAAUGGUAUGUUUGUGAUAUUGAUAUAGUAUUAAUGCACUGUGAAUUUAUUUAUUUAUUUUGAGAUGGAAUCUUGCUCUGUCGUGCAGACUGGUGUGCAGUGGUGCGAUCUCAGCUCACUGCAACCUCUGAUAUGGUUUAGCUGUGUCCCCACCCAAAUCUCAUCUUGAAUUCCUAUGUGUU